CGGGACACGUGGUAUCCUGUCUGAAUAUGGGGGGACCAUCCUCCAAGGCUAAAUACUCCUGACUGACCGAUAGUGAACCAGUACCGUGAGGGAAAGGCGAAAAGAACCCCGGCGAGGGGAGUGAAAAAGAACCUGAAACCGUGUACGUACAAGCAGUGGGAGCACGCUUAGGCGUGUGACUGCGUACCUUUUGUAUAAUGGGUCAGCGACUUAUAUUCUGUAGCAAGGUUAACCGAAUAGGGGAGCCGAAGGGAAACCGAGUCUUAACUGGGCGUUAAGUUGCAGGGUAUAGACCCGAAACCCGGUGAUCUAGCCAUGGGCAGGUUGAAGGUUGGGUAACACUAACUGGAGGACCGAACCGACUAAUGUUGAAAAAUUAGCGGAUGACUUGUGGCUGGGGGUGAAAGGCCAAUCAAACCGGGAGAUAGCUGGUUCUCCCCGAAAGCUAUUUAGGUAGCGCCUCGUGAAUUCAUCUCCGGGGGUAGAGCACUGUUUCGGCAAGGGGGUCAUCCCGACUUACCAACCCGAUGCAAACUGCGAAUACCGGAGAAUGUUAUCACGGGAGACACACGGCGGGUGCUAACGUCCGUCGUGAAGAGGGAAACAACCCAGACCGCCAGCUAAGGUCCCAAAGUCAUGGUUAAGUGGGAAACGAUGUGGGAAGGCCCAGACAGCCAGGAUGUUGGCUUAGAAGCAGCCAUCAUUUAAAGAAAGCGUAAUAGCUCACUGGUCGAGUCGGCCUGCGCGGAAGAUGUAACGGGGCUAAACCAUGCACCGAAGCUGCGGCAGCGACGCUGAUGCGUUGUUGGGUAGGGGAGCGUUCUGUAAGCCUGCGAAGGUGUGCUGUGAGGCAUGCUGGAGGUAUCAGAAGUGCGAAUGCUGACAUAAGUAACGAUAAAGCGGGUGAAAAGCCCGCUCGCCGGAAGACCAAGGGUUCCUGUCCAACGUUAAUCGGGGCAGGGUGAGUCGACCCCUAAGGCGAGGCCGAAAGGCGUAGUCGAUGGGAAACAGGUUAAUAUUCCUGUACUUGGUGUUACUGCGAAGGGGGGACGGAGAAGGCUAUGUUGGCCGGGCGACGGUUGUCCCGGUUUAAGCGUGUAGGCUGGUUUUCCAGGCAAAUCCGGAAAAUCAAGGCUGAGGCGUGAUGACGAGGCACUACGGUGCUGAAGCAACAAAUGCCCUGCUUCCAGGAAAAGCCUCUAAGCAUCAGGUAACAUCAAAUCGUACCCCAAACCGACACAGGUGGUCAGGUAGAGAAUACCAAGGCGCUUGAGAGAACUCGGGUGAAGGAACUAGGCAAAAUGGUGCCGUAACUUCGGGAGAAGGCACGCUGAUAUGUAGGUGAAGCGACUUGCUCGUGGAGCUGAAAUCAGUCGAAGAUACCAGCUGGCUGCAACUGUUUAUUAAAAACACAGCACUGUGCAAACACGAAAGUGGACGUAUACGGUGUGACGCCUGCCCGGUGCCGGAAGGUUAAUUGAUGGGGUUAGCGCAAGCGAAGCUCUUGAUCGAAGCCCCGGUAAACGGCGGCCGUAACUAUAACGGUCCUAAGGUAGCGAAAUUCCUUGUCGGGUAAGUUCCGACCUGCACGAAUGGCGUAAUGAUGGCCAGGCUGUCUCCACCCGAGACUCAGUGAAAUUGAACUCGCUGUGAAGAUGCAGUGUACCCGCGGCAAGACGGAAAGACCCCGUGAACCUUUACUAUAGCUUGACACUGAACAUUGAGCCUUGAUGUGUAGGAUAGGUGGGAGGCUUUGAAGUGUGGACGCCAGUCUGCAUGGAGCCGACCUUGAAAUACCACCCUUUAAUGUUUGAUGUUCUAACGUGGACCCGUAAUCCGGGUUGCGGACAGUGUCUGGUGGGUAGUUUGACUGGGGCGGUCUCCUCCUAAAGAGUAACGGAGGAGCACGAAGGUUGGCUAAUCCUGGUCGGACAUCAGGAGGUUAGUGCAAUGGCAUAAGCCAGCUUGACUGCGAGCGUGACGGCGCGAGCAGGUGCGAAAGCAGGUCAUAGUGAUCCGGUGGUUCUGAAUGGAAGGGCCAUCGCUCAACGGAUAAAAGGUACUCCGGGGAUAACAGGCUGAUACCGCCCAAGAGUUCAUAUCGACGGCGGUGUUUGGCACCUCGAUGUCGGCUCAUCACAUCCUGGGGCUGAAGUAGGUCCCAAGGGUAUGGCUGUUCGCCAUUUAAAGUGGUACGCGAGCUGGGUUUAGAACGUCGUGAGACAGUUCGGUCCCUAUCUGCCGUGGGCGCUGGAGAACUGAGGGGGGCUGCUCCUAGUACGAGAGGACCGGAGUGGACGCAUCACUGGUGUUCGGGUUGUCAUGCCAAUGGCACUGCCCGGUAGCUAAAUGCGGAAGAGAUAAGUGCUGAAAGCAUCUAAGCACGAAACUUGCCCCGAGAUGAGUUCUCCCUGACUCCUUGAGAGUCCUGAAGGAACGUUGAAGACGACGACGUUGAUAGGCCGGGUGUGUAAGCGCAGCGAUGCGUUGAGCUAACCGGUACUAAUGAACCGUGAGGCUUAACCUU
Molecule: ribosomal RNA, 2527 nt
Filed under: Escherichia coli
Lineage: Bacteria; Pseudomonadati; Pseudomonadota; Gammaproteobacteria; Enterobacterales; Enterobacteriaceae
Description: partial 23S ribosomal RNA
Rfam family: Bacterial large subunit ribosomal RNA
Source: RNAcentral